Molecule: ribosomal RNA, 250 nt
Filed under: uncultured bacterium
Lineage: Bacteria
Description: partial 16S ribosomal RNA
Rfam family: Bacterial small subunit ribosomal RNA
Source: RNAcentral
UACAGAGACCUCAAGCAUUAUCCGGAUUUAUUGGGCGUAAAGGGUCCGCAGGCGGUUUCCUAAGUCUUUCGUUAAAUCUCAAGGCUCAACCUUGGGGCAGCGGGGGAAACUGGGGAACUAGAGGUUGGGAGAGGUAUGCGGAAUUACCGGUGUAGUAGUAAAAUGCGUUAAUAUCGGUAAGAACACCAAAGGCGAAGGCAGCAUACUGGAACACACCUGACGCUAAGGGACGAAAGCACGGGGAGCGAAG